GAUGAACGCUAGCUACAGGCUUAACACAUGCAAGUCGAGGGGAAACGAUGAGAGAGCUUGCUCUCUUAGUCGUCGACCGGCGCACGGGUGAGUAACGCGUAUCCAACCUGCCUCUGACCAAGGGAUAACCCGUCGAAAGUCGGACUAAUACCUUAUGCAGUCGUCGGAAGUCAUCUGAUGACGACGAAAGAUUUCAUCGGUGAGAGAUGGGGAUGCGUCUGAUUAGCUUGUUGGCGGGGUAACGGCCCACCAAGGCGACGAUCAGUAGGGGUUCUGAGAGGAAGGUCCCCCACAUUGGAACUGAGACACGGUCCAAACUCCUACGGGAGGCAGCAGUGAGGAAUAUUGGUCAAUGGGCGUAAGCCUGAACCAGCCAAGUAGCGUGCAGGAUGACAGCCCUAUGGGUUGUAAACUGCUUUUAUGCGGGGAUAAAGUGAGGGACGUGUCCUUCAUUGCAGGUACCGCAUGAAUAAGGACCGGCUAAUUCCGUG
This 491-nucleotide ribosomal RNA is filed under the name uncultured bacterium. RNAcentral's name for it is "partial 16S ribosomal RNA". It matches the Rfam family "Bacterial small subunit ribosomal RNA", at positions 28 to 507 of the family's 1533-position model. The record is from RNAcentral.